This 63-nucleotide transfer RNA is filed under the name Mactra antiquata. RNAcentral describes it as "tRNA-Ser". The record is from RNAcentral. Lineage: Eukaryota; Metazoa; Mollusca; Bivalvia; Venerida; Mactridae.
AGAAAUAUAGGUUGAAUCUGGACUUCUAAUUUAGAUUCGGGUGGUUCGAACCAUUCAUUUCUU